Molecule: ribosomal RNA, 120 nt
Filed under: Pteropus alecto (black flying fox)
Lineage: Eukaryota; Metazoa; Chordata; Mammalia; Chiroptera; Pteropodidae
Source: RNAcentral
UCUUAAAAUCAAAUAAAUACUGAACGUGCCCGAUCUCCUCUGAUUUCGGGAGCUAAGCAGGGUCGGGCCUGGUUAGUACUUGGAUGGGAGACCACCUAGGAAUACCAGGUGCUAUAGGCG